GAUGAACGCUGGCGGCGUGCCUAAUACAUGCAAGUCGAGCGAACAGACGAGGAGCUUGCUCCUCUGACGUUAGCGGCGGACGGGUGAGUAACACGUGGAUAACCUACCUAUAAGACUGGGAUAACUUCGGGAAACCGGAGCUAAUACCGGAUAAUAUAUUGAACCGCAUGGUUCAAUAGUGAAAGACGGUUUUGCUGUCACUUAUAGAUGGAUCCGCGCCGCAUUAGCUAGUUGGUAAGGUAACGGCUUACCAAGGCAACGAUGCGUAGCCGACCUGAGAGGGUGAUCGGCCACACUGGAACUGAGACACGGUCCAGACUCCUACGGGAGGCAGCAGUAGGGAAUCUUCCGCAAUGGGCGCAAGCCUGACGGAGCAACGCCGCGUGAGUGAUGAAGGUCUUCGGAUCGUAAAACUCUGUUAUUAGGGAAGAACAACUGUGUAAGUAACCCUGCACGUCUUGACGGUACCUAAUCAGAAAGCCCCGGCUAACUACGUG
RNAcentral lists this ribosomal RNA (497 nucleotides) under uncultured bacterium. Its description in RNAcentral is "partial 16S ribosomal RNA". It matches the Rfam family "Bacterial small subunit ribosomal RNA", at positions 28 to 507 of the family's 1533-position model. The record is from RNAcentral.